AGACACUGCAUAUUGUAGACUUAACUGAACCUAAUGGGAGUCAUUGUGCAGGGAGACAGUUCAAACCGAUUUCCCCCUGAGAGUCUCCAAAUAACAGACAGCAUCAUGGUGAGAUGUGACCCAUGAGUGAAAUGAAAUGGCCAAUAGCUGACAGAGCAAGCUCAGUUUACUUCUGGAGCGAACUAGAAAACAGCAGCUCGUGAAGAUCUCUGGGAUUCACCGCAACACUCUGCAACUCCUCACCAACAGGCCACAGUCAGUCAGGAUAGGAGGAAAAACAUCAAGCCCCGUCCCACUCAGGAUGGCUCACCUCAGGGCCGCGUUCUCAGGAGAAGGUGGAGCAGCUGGCUGUGUGGUGCAGCGACAACAAUCUCUCCCUCAAUCUAGAAAAGACCAAAGAGAUUGUAGUGGACUUCCGGAGAGCUGCCAUGGUGCACCACCCACAACCACUGCUCAUCAACUGCAAAGCUGUGGAGAGAGUGAGCAGCACAAAGUUCCUGUGGGUCCACAUCACAGAGGACCUUAAGUGGUCCACCAACACCACUGCACUCACCAAAAAGGCCCAGUAGAGACUGUACUUCCUAAGGUGGCUUAGAAGUCAACCUCCCUCCUCCAUCAUGACAACAUUCUCAAAUGGCACCUUCUUUUAAUUGCACUUUUUUAAUACACUUUUUAUUCAUUUUAGAGCACAGCAUAUUUUAACCUCAACACGUUCACUUUUUUGUAGCUUCGAGUAGCUGUCUAAUGCCUUGUCUUGUUUGAUGUCUUUUUAAUUUAUUGUAUUUUAUGUCUGAUGUGUGGGGCACAUUAUAUUUCGCCUCCAUGUAUGCUAAUGCAUGUACUUGGAAGUGACAAUAAACUGAU
Molecule: long non-coding RNA, 864 nt
Organism: Notolabrus celidotus (New Zealand spotty)
Lineage: Eukaryota; Metazoa; Chordata; Actinopteri; Labriformes; Labridae
Exons: 3
Source: RefSeq, a predicted model, not a curated record